Alligator mississippiensis (American alligator) is the source of this 2573-nucleotide long non-coding RNA. RefSeq lists it as uncharacterized. The record is from RefSeq and is a predicted model, not a curated record. Lineage: Eukaryota; Metazoa; Chordata; Crocodylia; Alligatoridae. The transcript has 2 exons.
UUCAAGAUUCCCUGGCUGGAAAAAAGUGGUGGCAGGCACUGUAUUUUACAUGUUGCUUGAUCCAAAAGGUGUGCUCUGAGAAUAUUUACCAGAUUAAGCCCCUCAGGGGAGAUAGGUAGAGGAACAGCUAGUUUCUGGAUCUCAAUUCAACUUUGGCACGAGACUAGCUGCCACCUACUCAACCCUCUCAAGACUGAGGCUUUUCUGGGCACGUGCAGCAUCAGCAGCAUAGGUCUUUCCCUGUAAGCUCAUUAAGGAACUUAAGAAUAUUAUUGACAAUGCACGUGCUAAAUCCGUUGGAUACUGUACUUACCAUCACCAAGACCAGUUUGAUGAGAAUAAUGAGGAAAUCCUAGCAUUUAUCCAUCAGAAGAGAGCCGUAUUCUGCAGCUGGCAAAAUGAACCCUCCAACCAGCAAAAACAAGAGGCUUACCAGUGGCUCAAACCUCUAUUUCAGAGAAGGCUACAGGACAUCAAGAACCAGCAUGGCAAUCAAAGGCCUUGGAGAUCCAAAUUUUCACUGACCAACAUGACAUGAGAAGCUCCUUUCAAGCAAGAAAAGCUAUCCAUGGGCCAUAUUCCAAUGGCCCAACCCCCUUGCAAUCCCAAGACAGCUCCAGUCUUCUCAUGGACAAUGCAACACUGGAAGGAACACUUCAAGACUACUCAACAGUGAAUCUUCCUUCCAAGUCCAUCCCUCAACACCCAGGAAUAGAACUUCUUGCUGAUCCCCCAUCCUUCAAGGAAGGCUGGCGAGCCAUUACUUAGACCGAGAACAAUAAGGCACCAGGUCCAGAUGGUAUCCGUGCAGAGGUCUUCAAAGCCUGGUGGAACAGCACUAAUGUGAACAUUUCGCCAGCUUCUCAUGAAAAUAUGGGUUAAUGAGGAAAUUCCACCUGACUUAAAGAAUGCCAAUGUUUUGCCCAUCUUCAAGAAAAAGGACAAGUCGGUGUGUGGGAACUGCCGAAGCAUUGACCUGCUCCCCAUUGCUGGGAAGAUUCUUACUCGCAUCCUUCUUAAUUACCUCCUCCCCCUUGCCAAAGAUGUCCUCCCAGAAUCCCACUGUGGCUUUAAACCAUUUCAGGGUAUCACCAACAUGAUUUUUGUUGCACAACAGAUUCAGGAGAAGUGUAGAGAGUAACACCAAGAGAUAUUUAUAGCAUUCAUUGACCUAACCAAGGCCUUUGACUCCAUCUAUUGUGAAGCCUUAUGGAAGGUACUGGUUAGAUUUCAUUGUCCACUGAAGUUCAUCAGUGUCCUCAGGCUACUCCAUGAUGGGAUGACCACCAUAGUCCUUUGCAAUGGAUCAGAGACAGAUGUAUUUACUAUUCAUAUUGGUGUCAAGCAGGGCUGCAUUAUUGCCCCAGCCCUUUUUUCCAUCUUCAUGUGAUUUUGACUGCCUUCCUCCUGGGACUGGAGUUAAAUAUUGAAUGGACAGUCAGCUUUUCAACCUGUGGGACCUUCGCAGUGAAACAAAAGUUAUCAAGUCUGGUAUCACCAACCUUCAGUACACUGAUGACUGUGUUAUACUUGAACACAGUGAGACCAAUCUGUAGUACACCUUUUCUCAGGUGCCUAUCAUAGCCUGGGACUUUCUCUAAACAUGGGGAAGACCAAGGUGCUUUAUCAGCUGGCCUCAGCACAAGCUUCUCCCCUCGCUCAAUAAAUUACUAUUGGUGGAGAGCCCCUGGAAACCAUGAAGCAUUUCCCAUACCUUGGCAGUCACCAUUCCCAGUCAGUCAGUCAGUCUAGAUGUAGAAAUCCAAUUUAGGGUUUGCCAUGACAACAUAUCCUUCAGAAAGCUGCUUCACCAUGUCUUUGCUGAUUAAGAUCUGUAGAAGGAAACUAAGAUCCUAGUCUAGAAUGCAGUGAUUUUCCCCAUACUCCUCUAUGAGUGUGAGACGUGAGUGGCAUAUCAAAGUCAUCUUAAGCACCUGAAAUGAUUCCAUUACUUUUGCUUCAGGAAGAUCCUUUGCAUUAGAUGGGAAGACCACUGCACCAAUGCUAGCAUCCUCUCUUUAACUAACAUAACCAGCACUGAGGCAAAGAUCAUGAAACAUCAACUCCACUGGUUUGGCCAGCGUGUGUGGGUGGCUGGCACUGACCUCCUGAUGCAAGUCUUCUUCUCUCAACUUAGUUAUGGUGAGAGGACCCACGGAAGACAGAGGAAGUGCUACAAGGACACCCUGAAAGCAUACCUUAAGAAGGGUGACAUCAACUCUGCAAAUUGGGAAGUGCUGGCUGGUAACACAUCUCAAUGGCGCUGUACCAUACAUUAAGCUACAGCCCACUUCAAAGAGAACUGUCUUGCUCAGGAGACAGUAAACAAUAGAGGUGGAAGGAAAGUGUAGAAAAUUGUGCACCCUCUCCCUCCCCAAGGUACUACUUGUCAUAUCUGUGGAAAAACUUGCAAAGCAUGGAUUGGAUUCCUCAGCCACCUUAAAACUCACCAGUAAGCUGCCCACCCCCGCAGACAUCAUCCUCAUAUUGAGGAAUAGCUGAUAAUGAUACCCAUAUACGCACCAGCUACUAACUUGUUUUUAAUAAAUCAAUCAUAUGGCGUUUGUUCUUGA